CGCGCUGCUCUAGGUCCCGGCAUGCCCAAUGCGGGCAGGGGGAGGCUCCGGCCAAUUUGAAUGAAGACUAGAGCUUUCGGCGCCAUUUUCGAGUGAGCCGCUAUAGCAACAACAGCUACCCAGAGAGGCUCCGCAAUGUAGUUCAGUAUUACGAGCAAGGGGAACACACUUUUCGACUGUUCCGGAGAACAAAAGCAGGAAUUUUUCUCUAAAAUUUUCCACAAAUUUCAGCAUCUUGUUUCAGGCGGAUAAUUACUGGACACACGGAAGACACCGUAAAGUGACAACAAAUAGUGAAGUGGCGACUGAAGUGAGCUAGCAGGCUAAUCCGGCUAGCAUUUCCAGCUGAGAAGGGGCGUCCGACCGGAGCCGCGCUGUGGAAACGAAAUAUUAUAAUUUUUAUUUUCAAAAAAAUCCAACAAAUACGCGGAUGAUGUGAAAAAUCUGUAAAAAAUCGAAAAAUUAGAGCAGGAGACGAGGAAUGGAUUUGUGUGGGUUGUUUGAUGGAGUGAGGUGGUUUUGUGCAUUUUUUAAACGUUGAGUUUGAGCGGGAUUGGUGAUGUGAGUGAGACGGCCGGCGAGCUCGACAGCCUAUCAGCGAGCGAUACACGGGACCCCACACCGACCAACAUUGUCAUACUCUUUACUACAUUUUGCCUAUUUUUUCAGUAAAAUAACCAAGGGUGACCUACGUGCCUGUUUUUUCCUCUUUUUGGGCUUUUACUAUAUAUUGUGCGCCGACAGAUUUUUACAUUUCAAACAGUUUUUAAUGGAUUUACAAAGAUGACUGUUCAGGUGUUUUGAAUUUGCCUGAUGGUGAUGUCAGGAUACAGAAGACAAUUCACGACGAAGUCCUGAAAUACCUCAAGUCCUACGGAGAGAGAGAGAGAGGAAGAGGAGUCACUCGCUUGUGAUUCUGGCAGUGCAUAUUCAUGUUGCGGAGGGUGUGAGUGUGUAUGAUUGAGAGAGAGAGAGACCCUCCCUAGGUGAUGGUGUAGCAGCACAGAAUGGUUUGUGGUGAUACAGAGAUGCAGGCCGUGAUGUGCUGCAGCAUCAAUU
Paramisgurnus dabryanus is the source of this 1059-nucleotide long non-coding RNA. RefSeq lists it as uncharacterized. Lineage: Eukaryota; Metazoa; Chordata; Actinopteri; Cypriniformes; Cobitidae. The record is from RefSeq and is a predicted model, not a curated record.